AAACGCGAUAAGUUCACCGCCUGGGGAGUACGGUCGCAAGGCUAAAACCCAAAGGAAUUGACGGGGGCCCGCACAAGCAGCGGAGCGUGUGGUUUAAUUCGAUGCAACGCGAAGAACCUUACCUGGGCUUGACAUGUACGUAGUAGUGAAGGGAAACCGGAACGAGCCUUCGGGCAGCGUAGACAGGUGCUGCAUGGCUGUCGUCAGCUCGUGUCGUGAGAUGUUGGGUUAAGUCCCGCAACGAGCGCAACCCGUGUUGCUAGUUACAAGUGUCUAGCGAGACUGCCGGUAACAAGCCGGAGGAAGGUGCGGAUGAUGUCAAGUCAGCAUGGCCUAUAUGUCCAGGGCUACACACACGCUACAAUGGCUGGUACAAAGAGAAGCGAAAGGGAGACCUGAAGCGAAUCUCAUCAAAGCCAGUCAUAGUUCGGAUUGCAGGCUGCAACUCGCCUGCAUGAAGUCGGAGUUGCUAGUAACCGCAGGUCAGCAAUACUGCGGUGAAUACGUUCCCGGGCCUUGUACACAC
RNAcentral lists this ribosomal RNA (526 nucleotides) under uncultured bacterium. RNAcentral describes it as "bacterial SSU rRNA". It matches the Rfam family "Bacterial small subunit ribosomal RNA", at positions 853 to 1390 of the family's 1533-position model. The record is from RNAcentral.